This is a long non-coding RNA of Panonychus citri (citrus red mite), 772 nucleotides long. RefSeq lists it as uncharacterized. The record is from RefSeq and is a predicted model, not a curated record. Lineage: Eukaryota; Metazoa; Arthropoda; Arachnida; Trombidiformes; Tetranychidae. The transcript is spliced from 3 exons.
AUUAGAAUAAUGGUCUAUUGAUUUGUUAAUUAUUUCGUUUAAUUUCUUACCAUUACUUAAUUGUUAUUGUUCUUUAUUAAUUUUAACCUGAGUCGUUUUGUUUAACCGUUUCUCUAUUUUAAGUUUCAUUUUAUUUUCUCUCAAGUUUGUUCUUUUUGUUCCUUAAAGAAAGUGUAACAAUUUGUUUUCCAAAAAGUUGACAUGAUUGGGGCUAAUUAAUAGGGCUUUGAUUUAAUUGUGAAGAAGAGUUAAUAUUACUUCAGACAUACUGGUGGUUACCUGAUCUUCUUAAGAGCUAAUUCAACGUCAACAUGGUUCAGAUUUGAUGUACUAAUUGUUGAAUGUUCAGAAGUGAUUCCAGUUGGUUCCAUUGAUCGGUUGAGGAGGCGACGGAAAGCAUUUCGAUAUUGUGGAUUCAUGAUGAAAUAAAUUAUCGGAUUAACGGAGGCGCUAAACAACACCAACCAAAGAGAGAGUAUGUAAAGAUUAAUGAAUUAAAUUGUUCAAUCCAUCAAUCAAAUUAAUACUGGAAACGUUUUGCUUUUCUGCUGUUAUAAUUUGGAUCACCAGAAGUGAAUCUGAUAAACGUUAAUCCCGAUGUUUACCCAUUGGAUUAAAGAUUAAGUCACAUUUAAUUGAAUAACAGUAACAAUUAGUUGUAACAGCAACAAUUAAAUAGGAAAUAAUUAUUUUCUUUUCCAACUACAAUGAGAUAGAAUUGGUGAUAAAAAUCAAUCAUGAUGAUGAUUAAAUAUAAUUUCUUACCUCGUUG